UACGUAGGUGGCAAGCGUUGUUCGGAUUUACUGGGCGUAAAGGGCGCGUAGGCGGCCUCUGCAAGUCGACUGUGAAAUCUCCGGGCUUAACCCGGAACGGUCAGCCGAUACUGCAGGGCUAGAGUGCAGAAGGGGCAACUGGAAUUCUCGGUGUAGCGGUGAAAUGCGUAGAUAUCGAGAGGAACACCUGCGGCGAAGGCGGGUUGCUGGGCUGACACUGACGCUGAAGUGCGAAAGCUAGGGGAGCGAACGGG
This 254-nucleotide ribosomal RNA is filed under the name uncultured bacterium. RNAcentral describes it as "partial 16S ribosomal RNA". It matches the Rfam family "Bacterial small subunit ribosomal RNA", at positions 524 to 776 of the family's 1533-position model. The record is from RNAcentral.